GACGUAGGGGGCCAGCGUUGUUCGGAAUUACUGGGUGUAAAGGGUGCGUAGGCGACUUAUUAAGUCAGUGGUGAAAUACUCUAGCUCAACUAGAGGGGUGCCAUUGAUACUGAUGAGCUUGAGUACAGAUGAGGUAGGCGGAAUUGACGGUGUAGCGGUGAAAUGCUUAGAUAUCGUCAAGAACACCUAUAGCGAAGGCAGCUUACUAGGCUGUAACUGACGCUGAGGCACGAAAGUGUGGGGAUCAAACAGG
Molecule: ribosomal RNA, 253 nt
Filed under: uncultured bacterium
Lineage: Bacteria
Description: partial 16S ribosomal RNA
Rfam family: Bacterial small subunit ribosomal RNA
Source: RNAcentral